CUCGCAAAUCUCCUAAGCGUUGCUUGUGAGACACUCAAGUACUUUCAAUUUUGCUUGCAUCAUAAAUAACCCAAUAAUUGAUGUAAGCCAUAAGCACUUCAAGAGACAGAAAAGGGUAACUAAAAUUUAUCAAUUACCUUAGUGGAGCCACCACCUCCAUUAAUUGAGCCUUGGAUGAAGAAAGAAUGACCAGAUAAAGCCAAUGAUCAUCAAAAUUCAAAUGAUGGAACAUCAAACACCAUC
This 243-nucleotide long non-coding RNA is filed under the name Elaeis guineensis (African oil palm). Its description in RNAcentral is "long non-coding RNA (EGUI_LNC016864)". Lineage: Eukaryota; Viridiplantae; Streptophyta; Magnoliopsida; Arecales; Arecaceae. The record is from RNAcentral.